GACGAACGCUGGCGGCGUGCUUAACACAUGCAAGUCGAACGGAAAGGCCCUGCUUUUGUGGGGUGCUCGAGUGGCGAACGGGUGAGUAACACGUGGGUAACCUGCUCCUUACUUUGGGAUAACUUCAGGAAACUGGGGCUACUAACGCCUAGGAGCUCCUACUGCCGGAUGGGGCUAGGAUAGUUUCGGCUGUUGGGGAUCGACGCGCGGGUUAUGAGCUUGUUGGGUGAGUUGGUGGGUACCAAGGCUGCGACGGAUAGGCGACCUGAGAGGGUUGACAGCCCCCAUGCGACUGAGAGAGGGCCCAGAAGGCUACGGGAGGCAGCAGGGGGGAAUAUGACACAGUGAGCGGAAGCGUGAGGCGGCAACGCCGCGUGCGUAAAGACGUCCUGCGGGGUGUAAACCGCUUUCGCCUGUGACGAAUCGUGAGUGACGGUAAUGGGUAAAGAAGCACCGGCUAACUACGUG
RNAcentral lists this ribosomal RNA (468 nucleotides) under uncultured bacterium. Its description in RNAcentral is "partial 16S ribosomal RNA". It matches the Rfam family "Bacterial small subunit ribosomal RNA", at positions 28 to 507 of the family's 1533-position model. The record is from RNAcentral.